Non-coding RNA from Cyanistes caeruleus (blue tit), 318 nucleotides. The record is from RefSeq and is a predicted model, not a curated record. Lineage: Eukaryota; Metazoa; Chordata; Aves; Passeriformes; Paridae.
CAGCGCUGCGCGUGCGCACGGAGGGGCCGGUGCCGGCGGGGCUCCCCCGGCCCUGAGGGUGACGGGGCCCGGCUGAGCCCGGCCCGGCCGCUGCCUCCUCCAGUGCCCCUGUACCCCUUCUCGUGAAACUCCGCAUCCAGCUCCCCCUCCUCGGGGCAGCAGAACUGAGUGUACGUGCUGGCAGCCUCGGUCCAACUUUACCUUAUGCCUGCCUUGUAAUGUCUACGAGUCUCAGGGAAACUGAAUGGGUUCUGUAAUACCUUUAAGACCUGGACCUGGAAGCUCAUCAAGCAAAUAAAGCUGUGCUAUGUUGAUAAA